RNAcentral lists this long non-coding RNA (1475 nucleotides) under Trifolium pratense (red clover). RNAcentral describes it as "long non-coding RNA (TPRA_LNC012228)". Lineage: Eukaryota; Viridiplantae; Streptophyta; Magnoliopsida; Fabales; Fabaceae. The record is from RNAcentral.
AAUGAGCUAAAGAGACAAACAUCUUUUAUACAUAAUUCUAAGAAACAUCUUUUCAUUCUCACUCUAUAAAGCGAUCAAAUGAUUCCUAUUUCUAGAUUCAUAAAAGAAAAAAUAUGGUUAAGGUUUAUAUGUAUAUUUAUGCUAUGAUUAUGUUUUUUUCCGUAUUCAUUACUAUAACUAGUGGUAAGUAAUUUUUAUCAACGUUUUUAAAUUUGGUAAACUAUGAUAUCUCAAAGCUUAGUUUGGUAUUUAUAUUUUUAUACAAAAUUCAAAUACCAUACCAUAUUUUCAUAUUAAUUUUUAGGGUUAAAUAAAAUUUUGGUCCUUAUAAAUAUGACAAAUUUCGUUUUUAACCCCUAUAAAAAAAUUUAAGCAAAUUUGAAUGAUUUUUCGUCCCUACUUUUAAGUCAACUCAUCUAGUUUUUUGUUUUGUUUUGUCAAUUCAUCUAUAUUACUUGAUAUUUUUAUUUUUUUUUAUGCAGUCAUGUUAAAUCAAUUAUACAAACCUCUCUUUUAAAAUAUUAAUUUCCGAUCCAUAUUUUCGUAUUUUUUAAUGAGUUUUUGUAUUUACGUUUAUAAUAAUAUAAAAACCUCUCCCACAAAAUUUAAUUUUUUUUAACAAGAGACAAAUUAUAUAUGAAUUUUUAAGUUUUUGCCGCUUAAAAAAUUAUAUUUAAUUCAUUUUAUUGAAAAAAUUCUAAAUUUUUGUUGUAGAGGUUUUCACACUAAUAUAAACAUAAUUACAAAAACUCAUUAAAAAAUAUGAAAUUAUAUACAUAUGACUUGACUUAAAAAUAGGAAUAAAAAGUUAUGACACAAUAUUUGAGAGACCGGUGCUUAAUGAAAGUUUGUAUAUGACUACAACAAAAUUUUAGAUAUUUAUAAGGAUAAAAACUUGUUUAACCCUAAUUUUUAAAUGAUUUUUCUAAAUUUAAUAUAUUUAAAAAAAUUCCUAAUAAUUUACCUUUAAUUUUCUUAUUCAAAAUUUUUCCAUCCCGAUUUUGAUAACUUUCCUAUAUUCUUAUUAGGGAUAAACUGCGAAAUUAAUUCGGAUUGUCGAGAUCAUGUUUGUAGUGAACCUGACAUUCCAGUAUGUGGGUUUCUGUCUCCGGUUUCACCCGGAAUAGGGACUUGUGGAUGUUUCAAGUAUAGCACAUUGAAAAUUAUAUAUCCGGAAUAGGGACUUGAGGAUUUUUCCAGUAAAGCACAUUGGAAAUUAUAUAUUAACAAUGGCUUUUGAAUGUGUGAACAAGCCGUAAAAUUAAUUAUUAAAAAUAAUUAUAUUGAUGUUUUUAUGAUUUAUUAGUAUAAUAACUGUGCCUCUAGGCAAAUAUUGUGUGUAAUGUUAUAUUAUUGGUUGGUAUAAAGAUUGUUGCCUCUUGUCAAAUAGUUAUAAUUGUAAUAUUUAACAAUGUCAAUUUAUUUAUAUGAAUAAUACCGAACUUGUUGAGUGAUAUUUUUCAUUUUAAUAGUAG